UUAAUCGGAAGUUACUAGGGGCCGUAAAGACGCGAUAGACUAGGCGGCCUGUUAAAGUCAGAUGUGAAAGACCCCGGGGCUUAAACCUCGGAAAUUGGCAAUUUGUAAACUGGCAGGCUAGAGUCUUGUAGAGGGGGGUAGAAUUUCAGGUGUAGCGGUGAAAUGCGUAGAGAUCUGAAGGAAUACCAGUGGCGAAGGCGGCCCCCCUGGACAAAGACUGACGCUCAGAUGCGAAAAGCGUGGGGAGCAAACAGGAUUAGAUACCCCUGGUAG
RNAcentral lists this ribosomal RNA (273 nucleotides) under uncultured bacterium. RNAcentral's name for it is "partial 16S ribosomal RNA". It matches the Rfam family "Bacterial small subunit ribosomal RNA", at positions 556 to 793 of the family's 1533-position model. The record is from RNAcentral.